UGCAAGUCGAGCGAUGAAACCCCUUCGGGGGUGGAUUAGCGGCGGACGGGUGAGUAACACGUGGGUAACCUGCCUCAAAGUGGGGGAUAGCCUUCCGAAAGGAAGAUUAAUACCGCAUAAAGCCAAGUUUCACAUGGAAUUUGGAUGAAAGGAGUAAUUCGCUUUGAGAUGGACCCGCGGCGCAUUAGUUAGUUGGUGGGGUAAUGGCCUACCAAGACAGCGAUGCGUAGCCGACCUGAGAGGGUGAUCGGCCACAUUGGAACUGAGAUACGGUCCAGACUCCUACGGGAGGCAGCAGUGGGGAAUAUUGCACAAUGGGCGAAAGCCUGAUGCAGCAACGCCGCGUGAGUGAUGAAGGUCUUCGGAUUGUAAAGCUCUGUCUUUUGGGACGAUAAUGACGGUACCAAAGGAGGAAGCCACGGCUAACUACGUGCCAGCAGCCGCGGUAAUACGUAGGUGGCGAGCGUUGUCCGGAUUUACUGGGCGUAAAGGGUGCGUAGGCGGAUGUUUAAGUGAGAUGUGAAAUACCCGGGCUUAACUUGGGUGCUGCAUUUCAAACUGGAUAUCUAGAGUGCAGGAGAGGAGAAUGGAAUUCCUAGUGUAGCGGUGAAAUGCGUAGAGAUUAGGAAGAACACCAGUGGCGAAGGCGAUUCUCUGGACUGUAACUGACGCUGAGGCACGAAAGCGUGGGUAGCAAACAGGAUUAGAUACCCUGGUAGUCCACGCCGUAAACGAUGAGUACUAGGUGUAGGAGGUAUCGACCCCUUCUGUGCCGCAGUAAACACAUUAAGUACUCCGCCUGGGAAGUACGAUCGCAAGAUUAAAACUCAAAGGAAUUGACGGGGGCCCGCACAAGCAGCGGAGCAUGUGGUUUAAUUCGAAGCAACGCGAAGAACCUUACCUGGACUUGACAUCCCCUGAAUAACCUAAAGAUAGGCGAAGCCCUUCGGGGC
This 953-nucleotide ribosomal RNA is filed under the name Clostridium sp. RT2(2016). RNAcentral describes it as "bacterial SSU rRNA". It matches the Rfam family "Bacterial small subunit ribosomal RNA", at positions 56 to 1026 of the family's 1533-position model. The record is from RNAcentral. Lineage: Bacteria; Bacillati; Bacillota; Clostridia; Eubacteriales; Clostridiaceae.